This 403-nucleotide ribosomal RNA is filed under the name Verrucomicrobiota bacterium. Its description in RNAcentral is "Verrucomicrobia bacterium partial 16S ribosomal RNA". It matches the Rfam family "Bacterial small subunit ribosomal RNA", at positions 355 to 776 of the family's 1533-position model. The record is from RNAcentral. Lineage: Bacteria; Pseudomonadati; Verrucomicrobiota.
UGGGGAAUAUUGCACAAUGGGCGCAAGCCUGAUGCAGCAACGCCGCGUGAACGAUGAAGGUCUUCGGAUCGUAAAGUUCUGUUGCAGGGGAAGAUAAUGACGGUACCCUGUGAGGAAGCCCCGGCUCACUACGUGCCAGCAGCCGCGGUAAUACGUAGGGGGCUAGCGUUAUCCGGAUUUACUGUGCGUAAAGGGUGCGUAGGUGGUCUUUCAAGUCGGUGGUUAAAGGCUACGGCUCAACCGUAGUUAGCCUCCGAAACUGGAAGACUUGAGUGCAGGAGAGGAAAGUGGAAUUCCCAGUGUAGCGGUGAAAUGCGUAGAUAUUGGGAGGAACACCAGUAGCGAAGGCGGCUUUCUGGACUGCAACUGACACUGAGGCACGAAAGCGUGGGUAGCAAACAGG